UAGUAAAGAACGGGAGAGACCCUGUGCUACUCGUCUAUCGACUCGAGUGCAGGGCGCCGAAGGGGAUAAAACUCUCAGGCAAAAGUACCGUUUAAUUGUU
RNAcentral lists this non-coding RNA (100 nucleotides) under Candidatus Firestoneibacteriota. Its description in RNAcentral is "Candidatus Firestonebacteria Glycine sequence". It matches the Rfam family "Glycine riboswitch aptamer". Rfam says of the family: This family represents the bacterial glycine riboswitch. Glycine riboswitches usually consist of two metabolite-binding aptamers domains with similar structures in tandem. The aptamers cooperatively bind glycine to regulate the expression of downstream genes. The record is from RNAcentral.